GCGAUACUUUGGACACAUCAAUCCUAUACAGUUAACAAUCAAAUUAGUAAGUAACUAACUAAAUUUAAGAAUAAAUAAUUUAAUUAUUAAACUCUAAAAAAAAUUUGGAUGCUUAACUUGAUAUGUCGGGUCCUCAUACCUGCGACAUAAGACAGUUCAAUCCUCAAUACUGAUGCUAUCAUAUGGCAGCUACCAUGCUGCCUCCACCCUCUGAUACUGCACAAUAUCGUACCAAUG
Molecule: long non-coding RNA, 237 nt
Filed under: Elaeis guineensis (African oil palm)
Lineage: Eukaryota; Viridiplantae; Streptophyta; Magnoliopsida; Arecales; Arecaceae
Description: long non-coding RNA (EGUI_LNC003402)
Source: RNAcentral